GCCUGGAUGGCUCAGUCGGUUGAGCAUCUGACUUCGGCUCAGGUCAGGAUCAUGUGGGUCGUGGGUUCGAGCCCCACUUUGGGCU
Transfer RNA from Felis catus (domestic cat), 85 nucleotides. It matches the Rfam family "tRNA". Rfam says of the family: Transfer RNA (tRNA) molecules are approximately 80 nucleotides in length. The record is from Rfam. Lineage: Eukaryota; Metazoa; Chordata; Mammalia; Carnivora; Felidae.